AACGAACGCUGGCGGCAUGCCUAACACAUGCAAGUCGAACGAAGGCUUCGGCCUUAGUGGCGCACGGGUGCGUAACGCGUGGGAAUCUGCCCCUCGGUUCGGAAUAACAGUUAGAAAUGACUGCUAAUACCGGAUGAUGACUUCGGUCCAAAGAUUUAUCGCCGAGGGAUGAGCCCGCGUAAGAUUAGGUAGUUGGUGGGGUAAAGGCCUACCAAGCCGAGGAUCUUUAGCUGGUCUGAGAGGAUGAUCAGCCACACUGGGACUGAGACACGGCCCAGACUCCUACGGGAGGCAGCAGUGGGGAAUAUUGGACAAUGGGCGAAAGCCUGGUCCAGCAAUGCCGCGUGAGUGAUGAAGGCCUUAGGGUUGUAAAGCUCUUUUACCAGGGAUGAUAAUGACAGUACCUGGAGAAUAAGCUCCGGCUAACUCCGUGCCAGCCGCCGCAGUAA
RNAcentral lists this ribosomal RNA (449 nucleotides) under uncultured bacterium. RNAcentral describes it as "partial 16S ribosomal RNA". It matches the Rfam family "Bacterial small subunit ribosomal RNA", at positions 29 to 523 of the family's 1533-position model. The record is from RNAcentral.